Molecule: ribosomal RNA, 502 nt
Filed under: uncultured bacterium
Lineage: Bacteria
Description: bacterial SSU rRNA
Rfam family: Bacterial small subunit ribosomal RNA
Source: RNAcentral
CUGGCGGCGUGCUUAACACAUGCAAGUCGAACGCGAAAGGGACUUCGGUCCUGAGUAAAGUGGCGCACGGGUGAGUAACGCGUAGAUAACCUGUCUUCAUGUCUGGAAUAAUACGCCGAAAGGGGUACUAAUACCGGAUAUUCUUGCUUUUCAUAAGUUAUGCAAGCAAAGGUGGCCUCUGCAUAUGCUACUGCAUGAAGAGGGGUCUGCGUACCAUUAGCUAGUAGGUGGGGUAAUGGCCUACCUAGGCGACGAUGGUUAGCGGGUCUGAGAGGAUGAUCCGCCACACUGGCACUGGAACACGGGCCAGACUCCUACGGGAGGCAGCAGUGAGGAAUAUUGCGCAAUGGGGGAAACCCUGACGCAGCGACGCCGCGUGAGUGAGGAAGGCCUUCGGGUCGUAAAGCUCUGUCAAGAGGAAAGAAGUGUACAAUGGCUAAUACCUGUUGUAUUUGACGGUACCUCUAAAGGAAGCACCGGCUAACUCCGUGCCAGCAGCAGC